Molecule: long non-coding RNA, 675 nt
Filed under: Homo sapiens (human)
Lineage: Eukaryota; Metazoa; Chordata; Mammalia; Primates; Hominidae
Description: HSALNT0404980
Source: RNAcentral
GCCCAGUGCUGGACCAGGGCCUUGUCUCCAGCCUCUCCCCCAUGGGACUCUGGGGCCUUUGGGGGCCCUUGGGGGCCUUCCUGCACCCUCACACCUACUCAUCUCUGGACUCAGCCUCAGUGUGAAUGCUCACCUCGGGCUGAGCCAACCCCUCCAGACACGUUCUGCAGCUCGAGGAAGGAACUGCCCUUUGCAGCUGGGAUCUGCCCGAGUUUCAGCAGCAGCCUUGAAUUGUAAUCCCGAGCGGCUGGCGAAUAACACAGCACACAGCACUCGAGAGCCCAGGUGUCCAGGGUCACUCCCACCCCACCCUUGGCCUCCUGCUGGCUCAGCCCCACACCCCCACCAAAGGGCCAGGCUCCGGACCACCCUGGCCUGCCACACCCCCAUCCUAUGACUAUAAAAACUCGCGAGACCCUGGCAGGCACGCACAAGCUGCUGGACGUGGAGAGGAGCGGAUUGGCAGAGGAGCACUCAGGCGGCUGGACGUCGAGAGGAACGCACUGACGGGCGCCGGCACCCCGGCAGGCUACCAACCGGCAGCAGAAUGACCUGGAGUUUGGCUGGGGCAGCCAGAGGAGAGCCCGGGCCCGACUCCAGGGGAAAACCGUCCCACUCCAUCUUCUUCUGCCUUCCCCCAUCUGCUACCUCCACUCAAUAAAACCUUGCACUCAU